This 465-nucleotide ribosomal RNA is filed under the name uncultured bacterium. RNAcentral describes it as "partial 16S ribosomal RNA". It matches the Rfam family "Bacterial small subunit ribosomal RNA", at positions 338 to 795 of the family's 1533-position model. The record is from RNAcentral.
CCUACGGGGUGCAGCAGUGGGGAAUAUUGCGCAAUGGGCGAAAGCCUGACGCAGCGACGCCGCGUGAGGGAUGAAGGUCUUCGGAUCGUAAACCUCUGUCAGCAGGGAAGAACGGUCACUGUGCUAAUCAGCCGUGAAUUGACGGUACCUGCAAAGGAAGCACCGGCUAACUCCGUGCCAGCAGCCGCGGUAAUACGGAGGGUGCGAGCGUUAAUCGGAAUUACUGGGCGUAAAGCGCGCGUAGGCGGUAUGUUAAGUCAAGGGUGAAAUCCCCGGGCUCAACGUGGGAACUGCCUUUGAAACUGGCAGACUGGAGUGUGGGAGAGGGGAGUGGAAUUCCAGGUGUAGGAGUGAAAUGCGUAGAGAUAAGGAGGAACACCAGUGGCGAAGGCGGUCUGCUGGACAGCAACUGACGGUGAGGCGCGAAAGCGUGGGGAGCAAACAGGAUUAGAUACCCCUGUAGUC